GUAUGUUCUCUCAGACCUCAGACCCCAUUACUGACUGUGCAGCCCUGGAGGGAACUGUGUUAGUUACUCUUUGGACGGAGGAGUUGAAGAAAGGGCUUACAUUAAAUCACAUACUGUUAAAGGUGCUUCUCUCCUUUAUGAAUGCUACUUGCACGGGACUGAUCCUGCCUAAUGAUUGACGAGGGCGGCAUUUUCUGAGCUAAACUGACUAAGACGCACCUCCAACAACAACACAUAAAACCUCACAUAAUUCUGCCUAAAAACAAUUACAAUUUCUCUCAAUCAGUGGCAUAUGGGCUUUUUAGGUGAGGGAUGAUGCCUCCCUUUGAUAAGCAGUGCUCACUUUGUCAAAGGCAGGGAUGCGAAACAUCUUGCUUGUCUAUUCCCAGCGUGCCUCUCCAGGGUGCUGUUGGAGAGACACAUCGCUGCAGCGCUCCACCAACAUUUGGUCAAAAAUCUAACAGAAAUCAUGUAGCAGAUAUAGGUUACGGUAAAAAGAGUAUGACCUUUGCUGUAGUCUACAGGCUAGAGAUACAAUGUAUGAUAAUGUAAAGAGAGACACAUUUUACAUCAUACAGGUUUCUCCCAUUAAAUAGCCUAACCUAAAUGGCGCUCAAUCAAAUAAAAAAUGCGCUGUCAUGUUAACAAACAACAUGUCCUAAAAACAGGACAGGUCAAAGUUAAAUGGACAAUAUGGAACGGACAAUCACAACUGUUGUCCAGGAGUUUCACCUCAUUGUCGUGAUCAGUGGUUUCAAGUUUGUAUCAGUCAUUUUUUGACAAGCUGAUCCAUAGCAAAAAAUAAAAUACUUCUGCAUUUCCUGCUGUGUAAACACAUUGCAAAUCGUCUCGAGCUCCUGAUGAAGUUGGGUAGCUGAUAUUCAGAGCUUAAAUAGCCAAAUUAAUUAGCCUUGUGGACGUCUUAUUUUGGUGCAGUAGUCCUGCCUAAUGAGCGGGCCGGCCGUGCAAGUAGCAUUUUUUGGUGCAGUUCCGGACCGGCCUUAAUUUCCACAUCCACGGACAUUGGUUUUGGUAAAUUCUUUUUUUCAACUUUCAUUCAGAACCGAAAAUGAACCUGAUUUCAACGUCCUGGAAAAUGUGUAUUUUAAACGUCAUUUUGCUUACUGGGACUAUUCUAGUUUUGUGGGGGGCUGUAUUUUUUGGUCUUGCCUAUGGUGGCAGGGUGGCAAGGUGUUUUUUGUUUUGAUACUUCUUGUUUGAUCUGGAAGUGAAUUGCUCAAAUUGUGUGGCGGUCCGGCCAAAAUUCAGCCGUUGGUUCGUUCAUCGAUUGGUGACGAAAAACUCUGAUGCAACUUGAUGAUAUCUUGAGUACACACACAUACUGUCAGCAGGACUUCUUAGUAAAUAACCAUGCGGUGGCUUACACACACUCACAUGCACGUUCCCCCUGAUGAAACUCGAAUCCACGGAGAUUUGUACAGUUCUCUGUGGUCGUCUUAUUUUCAUCCUUGCUCUGUAAUACCUUGUCAAUACACUAGGUGCCAGGACUUUGGUGAAGACACUGAAAUUCAAUAUGUUAAGACAGUCAUUCCAUGUCCUUACUGCUCAGUAUAGAAGUCAACAGGGUGCUAUAUGAUAAACAGGUUUAGUGCAAGUGUGAAGACUGUGCAGAAGUAGAUAUAUUUUAUGUACUACUUAGUGCAGUAUAUGAUUACGUUUUAAGACAAAAGGGUAGGCAGCCAGAAGGUUUUUCAGGGCACACUACCCGGUCUUUAAAACACCUCUUAGGUUGACAUCCAUGUGUAGGCCUAUCUGAAGAGGAGGGGGUGCUCUGCGCAAGUGCUGUGGGGAGAUAAGGGAGGUGAGGUUUCAAGCAUGGGUGGAGGUUAUCGUUUUUGGGCUGUCUAUUGGGCAGCCCAAUUUAGGCUGAAAACAAAAAAUGCCGGGCAGCACAACCUAGCGUUAACCUUUCUCACUCUCAAAAAAACACAGAAAAGAGAAGGACAUUAUCAGAGAAAUGAAGCAUAGAAAGAAAAAAUAGGAAGAGGAAAAUGGACAUCCCCCUCUUAAUCAUCAUGUGAGCAGCGUUCAGGACGCUAUGCAGGCGGAGAGAGCGAUAUGUGGCUGGGGUCCCCAGGCGCUAGUGAGUAUCUAAACACAUGUUUCCAUGGGUAUGGGCUGUCAAUAUCAUCACCUGUCUCUACAUGAUCUCCAACCCUAAGCCUCUUACCAGCUCCCAUUCCCAUUGGGUUCCGAGGGCCCUGCUUGUAGAGUGACAGGCCCAGCUUCUGGCUUGGAUAAAUUCCAGUAUGAGUAGCACUUACUCCCUCCCCUUUCAGUUACAUAUAAAGAGCCCUCUUCAUUGGUGGCAGAUCAUUUGCAUUACCGUGGGGCCUCUUUUCAUUCUGCUGUGUGCGAUAUACUUUUAAUAAGUCUCACAGGUGCGUAGUGUUUACACACAGGAAUUGAAAAUGUAUAAUUCUUUGUAAAUCUCCAAUACGUUCAAGGCAAUUGUAUUUGCUUACCGGUAAAUACUGUAUAACAACAAUGUACAAAUAAGAACAAGACUUUCUAAUUGUAAAAAUGUAGGGUUAAGAUUGGUUGGUAAUAGACUGUAUUUGUCACGACUUCCACCGAAGUCAGCCCCUCUCCUUGUUCGGCGGUCGUCGUCACCGGCUUUUUAGCCAUCGACACUCCAUUUUUCAUUUAACCAUUAGUUUUGUCUUGUUCCCUGCACAUCUGGUUUUCAUUCCCCAAUCACACUGCAUGUAUUUAUUCCUCUGUUCCCCCUCAUGUCUUUGUGUGUGAUUGUUUCGUGUUACGUGUCAUUUUUGACGCGCUGUUUCUGGUGUGCGUUUUCCGUGAUAUAUAUUAUUCACGAGGUAUGUUUGUACAUUAUUAUUGUGAGUGUUUGUGCAUUUUUGCACUUUGGCAUAUUCGAUGGAGGUUUCCACGCAGUGGUGUCCUUCUGUUGGUUUCUCCUGCCUAAAUAAAGUGUUCGCCUGUUCACAACGCUCUGCUCUCCUACAACUGACUCCGCUUCCAGUACGCACACCAUUGACAGUAUUUUUACGUUGGCUUGCUGGUGGUUUGGGUGUGGGCUACCCAGGUGGUGUGUCUAUGAGAACAUAUGAGAUGGAGAUACAGUUGAAUUUCUAUAAACGUUUCCAAAGAUAAAAGACAAGGAAAAUAACUUGUACCAACAAAGAACUGAAAUGAACUGUAAUGUUUGUCAGAAUGACACACGGAUUAGCCACAGAUUAAUCAAAUGUCCAAACACUUCUGCCCAAAUUAGCGAAGAGUAUGGUAGACCAACGCAUUAGCCAAUAAAAAUAAACUCCCGGUGUAUAGGCAAUGGCUUAAUUGUCUUAAUCUACCAACCAAUAAUCUCCCACAACAACUUCCCCCUAACCCUCCCCUACACACUAGCACAUCACAAGCACAGAGCCAUGCCUUGCAGUCGUGUGAUUCGCUAAAACUAAAUGAUGGCAAAUGCAGGCGUUGACUCGAUGGCCACAGGUGGAGGUGUUGACUCAAUUGCCACAGGUGGAGGUGUUGACUCGAUGGCCACUGGUGGUGUUGUUGACUCAAUGGCCAUUAGUGGUGUUGAUUCGAUGGCCACUGGCGGAGGUGUUUGCUUGAUGGCCACUGGUGGAGGUGUUUGCUUGAUGGCCACUGGUGGAGGUGUUUGUUUGAUGGCCACUGGUGGAGGUGUUUGCUUGAUGGCCACUGGUGGAGGUGUUUGCUUGAUGGCCACUGGUGGAGGUGUUUGCUUGAUGGCCACUGGUGGAGGUGUUUGCUUGAUGGCCACUGGUGGAGGUGUUUGUUUGAUGGCCACUGGUGGAGGUGUUUGUUUGAUGGCCACUGGUGGAGGUGUUUGCUUGAUGGCCACUGGUGGAGGUGUUUGUUUGAUGGCCACUGGUGGAGGUGUUUGCUUGAUGGCCACUGGUGGAGGUGUUGGCCAUUGUCCACAGGAACUGGAAUGGGCCACCAGCCACAGUGUGAGGUCAGCUUGCCUCUUUAGGUACUGACCCACUGAUCACUGGAGGUACUGGGUCUUCUGUGUUAGGGGACACAGGGUAACCUUACACGGGAGCCUGGCUGGCCCCUGGGACUGGAGCUAGGGUGACUCCAUUGACUACUGCAGACCUGAUAAACUUACCAUUAGUAAGCUAGAUAUGGGACUGCACAAGGUACUGCAAUGGAGAUGGGAGUUGUAGUCUGAAAGGGUACUAUAGUGGAAAUGGAGUUGUAGUCUGAAAGGGUACUGCAAUGGAGAUGGGAGUUGUAGUCUGAAAGGGUACUGCAAUGGAGAUGGGAGUUGUAGUCUGAAAGGGUACUGCAAUGGAGAUGGGAGUUGUAGUCUGAAAGGGUACUGCAAUGGAGAUGGGAGUUGUAGUCUGAAAGGGUACUGCAGUGGAGAUGGGAGUUGUAGUCUGAAAGUGUACUGCAGUGGAGAUGGGAGUUGUAGUCUGAAAGGGUACUGUAGUGGAAAUGGAGGUGGAGUCUAAAAGGGUACUGCAAUGGAGAUGGGAGUUAUAGUCUGAAAGGGCACUGUAUUGGAAAUGGAGGUGGAGUCUAAAAGGGUACUGCAGUGGAGAUGGGAGUUGUAGUCUGAAAGGGUACUGCAAUGGAGAUGGGAGUUGUAGUCUGAAAGGGUACUGCAGUGGAGAUGGGAGUUGUAGUCUGAAAGGGUACUGCAAUGGAGAUGGGAGAUGUAGUCUGAAAGGGUACUGCAAUGGAGAUGGGAGUUGUAGUCUGAAAGGGUACUGCAAUGGAGAUGGGAGUUGUAGUCUGAAAGGGUACUGCAGUGGAGAUGGGAGUUGUAGUCUGAAAGUGUACUGCAGUGGAGAUGGGAGUUGUAGUCUGAAAGUGUACUGCAAUGGAGAUGGGAGUUGUAGUCUGAAAGGGUACUGCAAUGGAGAUGGGAGUUGUAGUCUGAAAGUGUACUGCAAUGGAGAUGGGAGUUGUAGUCUGAAAGGGUACUGCAAUGGAGAUGGGAGUUGUAGUCUGAAAGGGUACUGCAGUGGAGAUGGGAGUUGUAGUCUGAAAGGGUACUGCAAUGGAGAUGGGAGUUGUAGUCUGAAAGGGUACUGUAGUGGAAAGGGAGGUGGAGUCUAAAAGGGUACUGCAAUGGAGAUGGGAGUUGUAGUCUGAAAGGGUACUGCAGUGGAGAUGGAAUUGUAGUCUGAAAGGGUACUGCAGUGGAGAUGGGAGUUGUAGUCUGAAAGGGUACUGCAGUGGAAAUGGAGGUGGAAUCUAAAAGGGUACUGUAAUGGAGAUGGAGUUGUAGUCUGAAAGGGUACUGUAGUGGAGAUGGGAGUUGUAGUCUGAAAGGGUAAUGCAGUGGAGAUGGAGUUGUAGUCUGAAAGGGUAAUGCAGUGGAAAUGGAGGUGGAAUCUAAAAGGGUACGGCAAUGGAGAUGGAGUUGUAGUCUUAAAGGGUACUGUAGUGGAGAUGGGAGUUGUAGUCUGAAAGGGUACUGCAGUGGAGAUGGAAUUGUAGUCUGAAAGGGUACUGCAGUGGAGAUGGGAGUUGUAGUCUGAAAGGGUACUGCAGUGGAAAUGGAGGUGGAAUCUAAAAGGGUACUGUAAUGGAGAUGGAGUUGUAGUCUGAAAGGGUACUGUAGUGGAGAUGGGAGUUGUAGUCUGAAAGGGUAAUGCAGUGGAGAUGGAGUUGUAGUCUGAAAGGGUAAUGCAGUGGAAAUGGAGGUGGAAUCUAAAAGGGUACGGCAAUGGAGAUGGAGUUGUAGACUGAAAGGGUACUGUAGUGGAAAUGGAGGUGGAGUCUAAAAGGGUACUGCAGUGGAGAUGGGAGUUGUAGUCUGAAAGGGUACUGCAAUGGAGAUGGGAAUUGUAGUCUGAAAGGGUACUGCAAUGGAGAUGGGAGUUGUAGUCUGAAAGGGUACUGCAGUGGAGAUGGGAGUUGUAGUCUGAAAGGGUACUGCAAUGGAGAUGGGAGAUGUAGUCUGAAAGGGUACUGCAAUGGAGAUGGGAGUUGUAGUCUGAAAGGGUACUGCAAUGGAGAUGGGAGUUGUAGUCUGAAAGGGUACUGCAAUGGAGAUGGGAGUUGUAGUCUGAAAGGGUACUGCAAUGGAGAUGGGAGUUGUAGUCUGAAAGGGUACUGCAAUGGAGAUGGGAGUUGUAGUCUGAAAGGGUACUGCAGUGGAGAUGGGAGUUGUAGUCUGAAAGGGUACUGCAAUGGAGAUGGGAGUUGUAGUCUGAAAGGGUACUGCAGUGGAGAUGGAAUUGUAGUCUGAAAGGGUACUGCAGUGGAGAUGGGAGUUGUAGUCUGAAAGGGUACUGCAGUGGAAAUGGAGGUGGAAUCUAAAAGGGUACUGCAAUGGAGAUGGAGUUGUAGUCUGAAAGGGUACUGUAGUGGAGAUGGGAGUUGUAGUCUGAAAGGGUAAUGCAGUGGAGAUGGAGUUGUAGUCUGAAAGGGUAAUGCAGUGGAAAUGGAGGUGGAAUCUAAAAGGGUACGGCAGUGGAGAUGGAGUUGUAGACUGAAAGGGUAAUGCAGUUGAUGCUGGGGAUGAAGGUAGAGCACAAGGAACUGGAGUUUAGGCUUGAGCUCAUAUGAAUAGGUAAUUGUAGUGUUUUGGACCAAUCCAUUUCUGAAAUGAGGCUUGGAGUUCGACUGGGAUGGAUGGUUUCUUUGUUUCCAUCCACCUGAUUUGAUGUGUAUCUCCCUUAUUCUCUAUCUGACGAUGAGCCCUCAGUCAGCUGGGAAUCUAUACUCCAUUUUUGUCCUUUCCACCACGAUAGCCCGAUCAGGCCCGAAGGAUAUAAAAACUGGUUAGGGUUGGUCAAGGACUGUAUUUUGAGGUUGGUCUACAAGAACACAGGAGAUGGAGGUACAGUUGAAUUUCUAUAAACACAGGUGAAAGGUAAGGAAAUUAAGUUACACCAACAAGCUUCAGGUGGGAAAAUUUUAAGGGAAGGUGUGGCAAUAUCAAGGGAAGGGUGUGGCAAUAUCAAGGGAAGGGUGUGGCAAUAUCUUGGGAAGGGUGUGGCAAUAUCAAGGGAAGGUGUGGCAAUAUUAAGGGAAGGGUGUGGCAAUAUCAAGGGAAGGUGUGGCAAUAUCAAGGGAAGGGUGUGGCAAUAUUAAGGGAAGGGUGUGGCAAUAUCAAGGGAAGGGUGUGGCAAUAUCAAGGGAAGGGUGUGACAAUGUCAAGGGAAGGGUGUGGCAAUAUCAAGGGAAGGGUGUGACAAUAUCAAGGGAACGGUGUGGCAAUAUCAAGGGGAAGAGUGUGACUGAAGUUCCCCCUCUGCUCCAGGAACUGGGUGGUGAUUGGGCAAUGGGAAAGUCAGUCAAGGGCAACAAGACUACGAACUGAGUGUUCUAAUAUGCUUACGGCAGUUCCAAAUAUCAAGAGUUACGAAGAAACCUCAAAACAACAGGAAUUGCAGCGCGGGAUUUGGUUUUCAUUUUCUUUAGUGAUAUAAUAAAGUGAUUUCUUGGAGUUGUGUCAUGUCAGACUAGGAUCAGACAGGAUUAUAUUUAGAAUCUAAGAGACUUGUGAGUCAGAGAGGGCUUGUGUCGCCUACAACCCCCACAAUCUUGACUUUCACUGCCUCCGUAUCUGCUUGGGUGGGACUUUGUUUGCCUUGGCAUCAUGUUUCUGUCGUUGCUGUUCUUCCUAUUCCCACAUUUAGUUAAUCAUCAGCAUUUACUUAAUGCUUCAAAAUCAAAUGAACAAUUUUCCAUUGACAUCCUUCUUUUCCUACUUCUCUCUCUCUCUCCCACUCAAUCCCUUUCCCUCUUGCAAUUUCUCUCUCUCUUUCGCUUUUUUAUUUAUCUUUCACUCUCUUUCCCCCUCUCUCCCUCUAACUCUCCUUCUCCCUCUGGAUCUUCCAAUCGCCCUCAUCCCCUUCUAUCUCCCCUGUCGCCCCUGUUCCGACCGCUCACUUUUU
Molecule: long non-coding RNA, 7874 nt
Organism: Oncorhynchus keta (chum salmon)
Lineage: Eukaryota; Metazoa; Chordata; Actinopteri; Salmoniformes; Salmonidae
Exons: 3
Source: RefSeq, a predicted model, not a curated record